RNAcentral lists this ribosomal RNA (1225 nucleotides) under Escherichia coli. Its description in RNAcentral is "partial 23S ribosomal RNA". It matches the Rfam family "Bacterial large subunit ribosomal RNA", at positions 550 to 1774 of the family's 2925-position model. The record is from RNAcentral. Lineage: Bacteria; Pseudomonadati; Pseudomonadota; Gammaproteobacteria; Enterobacterales; Enterobacteriaceae.
CUGAAACCGUGUACGUACAAGCAGUGGGAGCACGCUUAGGCGUGUGACUGCGUACCUUUUGUAUAAUGGGUCAGCGACUUAUAUUCUGUAGCAAGGUUAACCGAAUAGGGGAGCCGAAGGGAAACCGAGUCUUAACUGGGCGUUAAGUUGCAGGGUAUAGACCCGAAACCCGGUGAUCUAGCCAUGGGCAGGUUGAAGGUUGGGUAACACUAACUGGAGGACCGAACCGACUAAUGUUGAAAAAUUAGCGGAUGACUUGUGGCUGGGGGUGAAAGGCCAAUCAAACCGGGAGAUAGCUGGUUCUCCCCGAAAGCUAUUUAGGUAGCGCCUCGUGAAUUCAUCUCCGGGGGUAGAGCACUGUUUCGGCAAGGGGGUCAUCCCGACUUACCAACCCGAUGCAAACUGCGAAUACCGGAGAAUGUUAUCACGGGAGACACACGGCGGGUGCUAACGUCCGUCGUGAAGAGGGAAACAACCCAGACCGCCAGCUAAGGUCCCAAAGUCAUGGUUAAGUGGGAAACGAUGUGGGAAGGCCCAGACAGCCAGGAUGUUGGCUUAGAAGCAGCCAUCAUUUAAAGAAAGCGUAAUAGCUCACUGGUCGAGUCGGCCUGCGCGGAAGAUGUAACGGGGCUAAACCAUGCACCGAAGCUGCGGCAGCGACGCUGAUGCGUUGUUGGGUAGGGGAGCGUUCUGUAAGCCUGUGAAGGUGUGCUGUGAGGCAUGCUGGAGGUAUCAGAAGUGCGAAUGCUGACAUAAGUAACGAUAAAGCGGGUGAAAAGCCCGCUCGCCGGAAGACCAAGGGUUCCUGUCCAACGUUAAUCGGGGCAGGGUGAGUCGACCCCUAAGGCGAGGCCGAAAGGCGUAGUCGAUGGGAAACAGGUUAAUAUUCCUGUACUUGGUGUUACUGCGAAGGGGGGACGGAGAAGGCUAUGUUGGCCGGGCGACGGUUGUCCCGGUUUAAGCGUGUAGGCUGGUUUUCCAGGCAAAUCCGGAAAAUCAAGGCUGAGGCGUGAUGACGAGGCACUACGGUGCUGAAGCAACAAAUGCCCUGCUUCCAGGAAAAGCCUCUAAGCAUCAGGUAACAUCAAAUCGUACCCCAAACCGACACAGGUGGUCAGGUAGAGAAUACCAAGGCGCUUGAGAGAACUCGGGUGAAGGAACUAGGCAAAAUGGUGCCGUAACUUCGGGAGAAGGCACGCUGAUAUGUAGGUGAAGCGACUUGCUC